RNAcentral lists this ribosomal RNA (497 nucleotides) under uncultured bacterium. RNAcentral's name for it is "partial 16S ribosomal RNA". It matches the Rfam family "Bacterial small subunit ribosomal RNA", at positions 28 to 507 of the family's 1533-position model. The record is from RNAcentral.
GAUGAACGCUGGCGGCGUGCCUAAUACAUGCAAGUCGAGCGAACGGACGAGAAGUUUGCUUUUCUGAUGUUAGCGGCGGACGGGUGAGUAACACGUGGAUAACCUACCUAUAAGACUGGGAUAACUUCGGGAAACCGGAGCUAAUACCGGAUAAUAUUUUGAACCGCAUGGUUCAAAAGUGAAAGACGGUCUUGCUGUCACUUAUAGAUGGAUCCGCGCUGCAUUAGCUAGUUGGUAAGGUAACGGCUUACCAAGGCAACGAUGCAUAGCCGACCUGAGAGGGUGAUCGGCCACACUGGAACUGAGACACGGUCCAGACUCCUACGAGAGGCAGCAGUAGGGAAUCUUCCGCAAUGGGCGAAAGCCUGACGGAGCAACGCCGCGUGAGUGAUGAAGGUCUUCGGAUCGUAAAACUCUGUUAUUAGGGAAGAACAUAUGUGUAAGUAACUGUGCACAUCUUGACGGUACCUAAUCAGAAAGCCACGGCUAACUACGUG